RNAcentral lists this ribosomal RNA (274 nucleotides) under uncultured bacterium. Its description in RNAcentral is "partial 16S ribosomal RNA". It matches the Rfam family "Bacterial small subunit ribosomal RNA", at positions 523 to 796 of the family's 1533-position model. The record is from RNAcentral.
AUACGGAGGGGGCUAGCGUUGUUCGGAAUUACUGGGCGUAAAGCGUACGUAGGCGGACUGAUCAGUUGGGGGUGAAAUCCCAGGGCUUAACCCUGGAACUGCCUUCAAUACUGUCAGUCUUGAGAUUGGAAGAGGUGAGUGGAAUUCCUAGUGUAGAGGUGAAAUUCAUAGAUAUUAGGAGGAACACCAGUGGCGAGGGCGGCUCACUGGUCCAAUACUGACGCUGAGGUACGAAAGCGUGGGGAGCAAACAGGAUUAGAUACCCUAGUAGUCC